GAUGAACGCUGGCUACAGGCUUAACACAUGCAAGUCGAGGGGAAACGGCAUUGAGUGCUUGCACUGAAUGGACGUCGACCGGCGCACGGGUGAGUAACGCGUAUCCAACCUUCCCGUUACUGCGGGAUAACCUGCCGAAAGGCAGACUAAUACCGCAUGUUCUUCGAUGACGGCAUCAGAUUCGAAGCAAAGACUCGUCGGUAACGGAGGGGGAUGCGUCUGAUUAGCUUGUUGGCGGGGCGACGGCCCACCAAGGCGACGAUCAGUAGGGGUUCUGAGAGGAAGGUCCCCCACAUUGGAACUGAGACACGGUCCAAACUCCUACGGGAGGCAGCAGUGAGGAAUAUUGGUCAAUGGGCGGAAGCCUGAACCAGCCAAGUAGCGUGCAGGAUGACGGCCCUACGGGUUGUAAACUGCUUUUAUGCGGGGAUAAAUGUGAGGG
This 442-nucleotide ribosomal RNA is filed under the name Prevotella sp. oral taxon G57. Its description in RNAcentral is "bacterial SSU rRNA". It matches the Rfam family "Bacterial small subunit ribosomal RNA", at positions 28 to 458 of the family's 1533-position model. Lineage: Bacteria; Pseudomonadati; Bacteroidota; Bacteroidia; Bacteroidales; Prevotellaceae. The record is from RNAcentral.